RNAcentral lists this unclassified non-coding RNA (302 nucleotides) under uncultured Pleosporales. Its description in RNAcentral is "sequence contains ITS1". The stretch from base 1 to 105 matches the Rfam family "5.8S ribosomal RNA", at positions 50 to 154 of the family's 154-position model. The record is from RNAcentral. Lineage: Eukaryota; Fungi; Ascomycota; Dothideomycetes; Pleosporales.
GAAAUGCGAUACUUGGUGUGAAUUGCAGAAUUCAGUGAAUCAUCGAAUCUUUGAACGCACAUUGCGCCCCUUGGUAUUCCAUGGGGCAUGCCUGUUCGAGCGUCAUCUACACCCUCAAGCUCUGCUUGGUGUUGGGCGUCUGUCCCGCCUUUGCGCGUGGACUCGCCCCAAAUUCAUUGGCAGCGGUCCUUGCCUCCUCUCGCGCAGCACAUUUGCGCUUCUCGAGGUGCGCAGGCCGCGUCCACGAAGCAACUAUUACCGUCUUUGACCUCGGAUCAGGUAGGGAUACCCGCUGAACUUAA